This 260-nucleotide ribosomal RNA is filed under the name uncultured bacterium. Its description in RNAcentral is "partial 16S ribosomal RNA". It matches the Rfam family "Bacterial small subunit ribosomal RNA", at positions 524 to 776 of the family's 1533-position model. The record is from RNAcentral.
UACGUAGGGUGCAAGCGUUGUCCGGAAUUAUUGGGCGUAAAGAGCUCGUAGGCGGUCUGUCGCGUCUGCUGUGAAAACUCAGGGCUUAACCCUGAGCUUGCAGUGGGUACGGGCAGACUAGAGUGCGGUAGGGGAGACUGGAAUUCCUGGUGUAGCGGUGAAAUGCGCAGAUAUCAGGAGGAACACCGGUGGGCGAAGGCGGGUCUCUGGGCAAUAAACUGACGCUGGAGGGAGCGAAAAGCGUGGGGGAGCGAAACAGG